Molecule: ribosomal RNA, 1451 nt
Filed under: uncultured bacterium
Lineage: Bacteria
Description: bacterial SSU rRNA
Rfam family: Bacterial small subunit ribosomal RNA
Source: RNAcentral
GAUGAACGCUAGCGGGAGGCUUAACACAUGCAAGUCGAGGGGCAGCACGAGAUAGCAAUAUUUUGGUGGCGACCGGCGCACGGGUGAGUAACGCGUAUGCAACCUACCUUGUACAGGGGGAUAACUCGGAGAAAUCCGGACUAAUACCCCAUAAUGAUAUUGAGAGGCAUCUUUUGAUAUUUAAAGUUCCGACGGUACAGGAUGGGCAUGCGUAACAUUAGCUAGUUGGUAAGGUAACGGCUUACCAAGGCUACGAUGUUUAGGGGACCUGAGAGGGUGAUCCCCCACACUGGAACUGAGACACGGUCCAGACUCCUACGGGAGGCAGCAGUGAGGAAUAUUGGACAAUGGAUGGAAAUCUGAUCCAGCCAUGCCGCGUGCGGGAAGAAGGUCCUAUGGAUUGUAAACCGCUUUUGUACGGGAGCAAUAAGAUCUACGAGUAGAUUGAUGAGAGUACUGUACGAAUAAGCAUCGGCUAACUCCGUGCCAGCAGCCGCGGUAAUACGGAGGAUGCAAGCGUUAUCCGGAUUUAUUGGGUUUAAAGGGUGCGUAGGUGGACUGUCAAGUCUGUGGUGAAAAGUUCGCGCUCAACGCGAAUCGUGCCAUGGAAACUGGUGGUCUUGAAUAGGGGUGCCGUUGGCGGAAUGUGAAGUGUAGCGGUGAAAUGCAUAGAUAUUACACAGAACACCGAUUGCGAAAGCAGCUGACGAACCCUCGAUUGACACUGAGGCACGAAAGUGCGGGGAUCGAACAGGAUUAGAUACCCUGGUAGUCCGCACAGUAAACGAUGACAACUGGCUGUCGGCGAUAUACCGAUCGGUAGCGAAGCGAAAGCGUUAAGUUGUCCACCUGGGGAGUACGACCGCAAGGUUGAAACUCAAAGGAAUUGACGGGGGCCCGCACAAGCGGAGGAACAUGUGGUUUAAUUCGAUGAUACGCGAGGAACCUUACCCGGGCUCGAACGGUGCAGGAAUACAGGAGAGAUUCUGUAGCAUAGCAAUAUGUCUGCAUCGAGGUGCUGCAUGGUUGUCGUCAGCUCGUGCCGUGAGGUGUAGGCUUAAGUGCCAUAACGAGCGCAACCCUUGUCGUCAGUUGCCAGCACGCAGUGGUGGGCACUCUGGCGAGACUGCCGCCGUAAGGUGUGAGGAAGGGGGGGAUGACGUCAAAUCAGCACGGCCCUUACGUCCGGGGCGACACACGUGUUACAAUGGCAGGUACAGAGGGGAGCGAGGCGGCGACGCCGAGCCAAUCUCGAAAGCCUGUCUCAGUUCGGACUGGAGUCUGCAACUCGACUCCACGAAGCUGGAUUCGCUAGUAAUCGCGCAUCAGCCAUGGCGCGGUGAAUACGUUCCCGGGCCUUGUACACACCGCCCGUCAAGCCAUGGAAGCCGAUGGUACCUAAAGUCCGUAACCGUAAGGAUCGGCCUAGGGUAAAACUGGUAACUGGGGCU